AUUGAACGCUGGCGGCAUGCUUUACACAGGCAAGUCGAACGGUAACAGGGUGCUUGCACCGCUGACGAGUGGCGAAGGGGUGAGUACUGCGCCGGAACGUACCGAGUAGUGGGGGAUAACGCAGCGAAAGUUGUGCUAAUACCGCAUCCGGACCGAGGUAGACAGUGGGGGACCUGAGCGACUGACGCCAUUCGGGCGGCCGACGUCUGAUUAGCUAGUAGGUGAGGUAAAGGCUCACCUAGGCGACGAUCAGUAGCGGGUCUGAGAGGAUGAUCCGCCACACUGGGACUGAAACACGGCCCAGACUCCUACGGGAGGCAGCAGUGGGGAAUUUUGGACAAUGGGCGAAAGCCUGAUCCAGCCAUGCCGCGUGUCUGAAGAAGGCCUUCGGGUUGUAAAGGACUUUUGUCAGGGAGGAAAUCCAUAGUGCUAAUAACACUGGGGGAUGACAGUACCUGAAUAAUAAGCACCGGCUAACUACGUGCCAGCAGCCGCCGUAA
This 500-nucleotide ribosomal RNA is filed under the name uncultured bacterium. Its description in RNAcentral is "partial 16S ribosomal RNA". It matches the Rfam family "Bacterial small subunit ribosomal RNA", at positions 30 to 523 of the family's 1533-position model. The record is from RNAcentral.